Molecule: ribosomal RNA, 514 nt
Filed under: uncultured Bacilli bacterium
Lineage: Bacteria; Bacillati; Bacillota; Bacilli
Description: bacterial SSU rRNA
Rfam family: Bacterial small subunit ribosomal RNA
Source: RNAcentral
UUCCGCAUGGAAGAAAGUUGAAAGGCGCUUUUGCGUCACUGAUGGAUGGACCCGCGGUGCAUUAGCUAGUUGGUGAGGUAACGGCUCACCAAGGCAACGAUGCAUAGCCGACCUGAGAGGGUGAUCGGCCACACUGGGACUGAGACACGGCCCAGACUCCUACGGGAGGCAGCAGUAGGGAAUCUUCGGCAAUGGACGAAAGUCUGACCGAGCAACGCCGCGUGAGUGAAGAAGGUUUUCGGAUCGUAAAACUCUGUUGUUAGAGAAGAACAAGGAUGAGAGUAAAAUGUUCAUCCCUUGACGGUAUCUAACCAGAAAGCCACGGCUAACUACGUGCCAGCAGCCGCGGUAAUACGUAGGUGGCAAGCGUUGUCCGGAUUUAUUGGGCGUAAAGCGAGCGCAGGCGGUUUCUUAAGUCUGAUGUGAAAGCCCCCGGCUCAANCCGGGGAGGGUCAUUGGAAANUGGGAGACUUGAGUGCAGAAGAGGAGAGUGGAGUUCCAUGUGUAGCGGUGA